RNAcentral lists this ribosomal RNA (511 nucleotides) under uncultured bacterium. RNAcentral describes it as "bacterial SSU rRNA". It matches the Rfam family "Bacterial small subunit ribosomal RNA", at positions 15 to 518 of the family's 1533-position model. The record is from RNAcentral.
GAUUCUGGCUCAGGAUGAACGCUAGCGACAGGCCUAACACAUGCAAGGUCGAGGGGCAGCGCGGAGUAGCAAUACUUGGCGGCGACCGGCGCACGGGUGAGUAACACGUAUGCAACCAACCCAUAACAGGGGGAUAACCCGGAGAAAUCCGGACUAAUACCGCAUAAGACCACGAUAUCGCAUGACAUAGAGGUCAAAUAUUUAUAGGUUAUGGACGGGCAUGCGUCUGAUUAGCUGGUUGGCGGGGUAACGGCCCACCAAGGCAUCGAUCAGUAGGGGUUCUGAGAGGAAGGUCCCCCACAUUGGAACUGAGACACGGUCCAAACUCCUACGGGAGGCAGCAGUGAGGAAUAUUGGUCAAUGGGCGAAAGCCUGAACCAGCCAUGUCGCGUGAAGGAAUGAAGGUCCUAUGGAUUGUAAACUUCUUUUGCAGGAGGGUAAAGUGAGCUACGUGUAGUUCAUUGCAAGUACCCUGCGAAUAAGCAUCGGCUAACUCCGUGCCAGCCGCAGC